RNAcentral lists this ribosomal RNA (254 nucleotides) under uncultured bacterium. RNAcentral describes it as "partial 16S ribosomal RNA". It matches the Rfam family "Bacterial small subunit ribosomal RNA", at positions 524 to 776 of the family's 1533-position model. The record is from RNAcentral.
UACGUAGGGGGCAAGCGUUGUCCGGAUUCAUUGGGCGUAAAGAGCUCGUAGGCGGUUCGAUAAGUCGGGUGUGAAACCUCCAGGCUCAACCUGGAGACGCCACCCGAUACUGUCGUGACUAGAGUCCAGUAGGGGAGCGUGGAAUUCCUGGUGUAGCGGUGAAAUGCGCAGAUAUCAGGAGGAACACCAGUGGCGAAGGCGGCGCUCUGGGCUGGAACUGACGCUGAGGAGCGAAAGCGUGGGGAGCGAACAGG